AUUGAACGCUGGCGGCGUGCUUUACACAUGCAAGUCGGACGGCAGCACAGAGAAGCUUGCUUCUUGGGUGGCGAGUGGCGAACGGGUGAGUAAUAUAUCGGAACGUACCGAGUAAUGGGGGAUAACUAAUCGAAAGAUUAGCUAAUACCGCGUAUUCUCUGAGGAGGAAAGCAGGGGACCUUCGGGCCUUGCGUUAUUCGAGCGGCCGAUAUCUGAUUAGCUAGUUGGUGGGGUAAAGGCCUACCAAGGCGACGAUCAGUAGCGGGUCUGAGAGGAUGAUCCGCCACACUGGGACUGAGACACGGCCCAGACUCCUACGGGAGGCAGCAGUGGGGAAUUUUGGACAAUGGGCGCAAGCCUGAUCCAGCCAUGCCGCGUGUCUGAAGAAGGCCUUCGGGUUGUAAAGGACUUUUGUCAGGGAAGAAAAGGCUGUUGCUAAUAUCGACAGCUGAUGACGGUACCUGAAGAAUAAGCACCGGCUAACUACGUG
RNAcentral lists this ribosomal RNA (490 nucleotides) under uncultured bacterium. RNAcentral describes it as "partial 16S ribosomal RNA". It matches the Rfam family "Bacterial small subunit ribosomal RNA", at positions 30 to 507 of the family's 1533-position model. The record is from RNAcentral.